UACGUAGGGUGCAAGCGUUGUCCGGAAUUAUUGGGCGUAAAGAGCUCGUAGGCGGUCUGUCGCGUCUGCUGUGAAAACUCGGGGCUCAACCCCGAGCCUGCAUACGAUACGGGCAGACUUGAGUUCGGCAGGGGAGACUGGAAUUCCUGGUGUAGCGGUGAAAUGCGCAGAUAUCAGGAGGAACACCGGUGGCGAAGGCGGGUCUCUGGGCCGAUACUGACGCUGAGGAGCGAAAGCGUGGGGAGCAAACAGG
RNAcentral lists this ribosomal RNA (253 nucleotides) under uncultured bacterium. RNAcentral's name for it is "partial 16S ribosomal RNA". It matches the Rfam family "Bacterial small subunit ribosomal RNA", at positions 524 to 776 of the family's 1533-position model. The record is from RNAcentral.